AAUUAUCAACCAUGUCUAGAUUGAUUUCGAAGCCAUGGCUUGGAGUUGGGAUGUUGCUGGCAGUGAAAUGCAGUCAGCUGUCCUGAAAUGUAUUAGCAAAGGUGAACAUGCAGGUCUUUCUUGGACAUGCACGGCCUUCGAUGUGAUAAUGAUCGUCGUGGCUGGAGUGUUCAGACAUGCACUAAAUCAUCCUUGCUUCCAAUCCUUUAACAUUGACUGCUUUUUGUGGAAAAAUGUUAUUUUUGACA
Molecule: unclassified non-coding RNA, 248 nt
Filed under: uncultured Boletus
Lineage: Eukaryota; Fungi; Basidiomycota; Agaricomycetes; Boletales; Boletaceae
Description: sequence contains ITS2
Source: RNAcentral